This 587-nucleotide ribosomal RNA is filed under the name uncultured Paracoccus sp. Its description in RNAcentral is "bacterial SSU rRNA". It matches the Rfam family "Bacterial small subunit ribosomal RNA", at positions 9 to 644 of the family's 1533-position model. The record is from RNAcentral. Lineage: Bacteria; Pseudomonadati; Pseudomonadota; Alphaproteobacteria; Rhodobacterales; Paracoccaceae.
GAGUUUGAUCCUGGCUCAGAACGAACGCUGGCGGCAGGCCUAACACAUGCAAGUCGAGCGGACCUUCGGGUUAGCGGCGGACGGGUGAGUAACGCGUGGGAAUAUGCCCUUUGGUUGGGAACAACAGCUGGAAACGGCUGCUAAUACCCGAUGAGCCCUACGGGGGGAAGAUUUAUCGCCAAAGGAUUAGCCCGCGUUGGAUUAGGUAGUUGGUGGGGUAACGGCCUACCAAGCCGACGAUCCAUAGCUGGUUUGAGAGGACGACCAGCCACACUGGGACUGAGACACGGCCCAGACUCCUACGGGAGGCAGCAGUGGGGAAUCAUAGACAAUGGGCGCAAGCCUGAUCUUGCCAUGCCGCGAGAGCGAUGACGGCCUUAGGGUUGUAAAGCUCUUUCACCGGUGAAGAUAAUGACGGUAGCCGGAGAAGAAGCCCCGGCUAACUCCGUGCCAGCAGCCGCGGUAAUACGGAGGGGGCUAGCGUUGUUCGGAAUUACUGGGCGUAAAGCGCGCGUAGGCGGGCUGUUAAGUCGGGGGUGAAAUCCCGGGGCUCAACCCCGGAACUGCCUUCGAUACUGGCAGCCUAG